GAUGAACGCUGGCGGCGUGCCUAAUACAUGCAAGUCGAGCGAACGGACGAGAAGCUUGCUUCUCUGAUGUUAGCGGCGGACGGGUGAGUAACACGUGGAUAACCUACCUAUAAGACUGGGAUAACUUCGGGAAACCGGCGCUAAUACCGGAUAAUAUUUUGAACCGCAUGGUUCAAUAGUGAAAGACGGUCUUGCUGUCACUUAUAGAUGGAUCUGGGCUGCAUUAGCUAGUUGGUAAGGUAACGGCUUACCAAGGCAACGAUGCAUAGCCGACCUGAGAGGGGGAUAGGCCACACGGGAGCGGGGACGCGGACCAGACGCCUACGGUAGGCAGCAGUAGGGAAUCUUCCGCAAUGGGCGAAAGCCUGACGGAGCAACGCCGCGUGUGUGAUGAAGGUCUUCGGAUCGUAAUACUCUGUUAUUAGGGAAGAACAGAUGUGUAAGUAACUGUGCAGAUCUUGACGGUACCUAAUCAGAAAGCCACGGCUAACUACGUG
RNAcentral lists this ribosomal RNA (497 nucleotides) under uncultured bacterium. RNAcentral's name for it is "partial 16S ribosomal RNA". It matches the Rfam family "Bacterial small subunit ribosomal RNA", at positions 28 to 507 of the family's 1533-position model. The record is from RNAcentral.